CACAGAGACACUAACUCUCAGCUUGAGGCAGAACUCAGCACAUUUGUGCAGGGGAAUCCAUGCCUCAUGUUGUCCUCCAGUCUGCCCUGGGUGUUCCUGGCCUUCAUCUUCUCUGGAUCCAGUGUAGCCCAGAGAGUUACUCAAGACCAGCCAGACAUUUCCAGUCAAGUUGGGGAGGUAGUCACCCUGAGCUGUCGAUAUGAGACAAGAGUGAGCAGUUACACCAUUUUUUGGUAUAAACAACUUCCCAGUGGAGAGAUGAUUUACCUUAUUCGUCAGGGUUCUUCUAGCCAGAAUGCAAGGGAUGGCCGCUACUCUAUAAAUUUUCAGAGAUCACAAAGAUCCAUCAGCCUCACCAUUUCAGACUUACAGCUAGAAGACUCUGCAAAGUACUUCUGUGCUCUCUGGGAACUCACAGUGGUUGAAGUAAUAGGAAAAGCUGAACAAAAACCCCAGAGCUUAAUAAGAGAGAGCCCCCCUGCUGCGGGACCCAGGCUGAAAUACACACCUGCAGACCCCAGACAAGAAAUGGUAGUCCUGCGGUUGCUUCAUCUGUGGUCUGGAUCAGAAGAUUUAAUUCUAAAUAAAAGCUCCUUCUAUGUCAUUUGGAAGCAGGUGUCCAGAGUAACUUUCUAA
Dama dama (fallow deer) is the source of this 636-nucleotide non-coding RNA. The record is from the annotation of a RefSeq genome assembly. NCBI's taxonomy places the organism in Eukaryota, Metazoa, Chordata, Mammalia, Artiodactyla, Cervidae.